RNAcentral lists this ribosomal RNA (497 nucleotides) under uncultured bacterium. RNAcentral describes it as "partial 16S ribosomal RNA". It matches the Rfam family "Bacterial small subunit ribosomal RNA", at positions 28 to 507 of the family's 1533-position model. The record is from RNAcentral.
GAUGAACGCUGGCGGCGUGCCUAAUACAUGCAAGUCGAGCGAACAGACGAGGAGCUUGCUCCUCUGACGUUAGCGGCGGACGGGGGAGUAACACGUGGAUAACCUACCUAUAAGACUGGGAUAACUUCGGGAAACCGGAGCUAAUACCGGAUAAUAUAUUGAACCGCAUGGUUCAAUAGUGAAAGACGGUUUUGCUGUCACUUAUAGAUGGGUCCGCGCCGCAUUAGCUAGUUGGUAAGGUAACGGCUUACCAAGGCAACGAUGCGUAGCCGACCUGAGAGGGUGAUCGGCCACACUGGAACUGAGACACGGUCCAGACUCCUACGGGAGGCAGCAGUAGGGAAUCUUCCGCAAUGGGCGAAAGCCUGACGGAGCAACGCCGCGUGAGUGAUGAAGGUCUUCGGCUCGUAAAACUCUGUUAUCAGGGAAGAACAAAUGUGUAAGUAACUAUGCACGUCUUGACGGUACCUAAUCAGAAAGCCACGGCUAACUACGUG